GGUUGUGUACCUCAGUGGUAAAGUGCUCACCUUGCACAUGAGAGGCACUGGGUUCAAUCCCCAGCACCACAU
Molecule: transfer RNA, 72 nt
Filed under: Ictidomys tridecemlineatus (thirteen-lined ground squirrel)
Lineage: Eukaryota; Metazoa; Chordata; Mammalia; Rodentia; Sciuridae
Description: Spermophilus tridecemlineatus (thirteen-lined ground squirrel) tRNA
Rfam family: tRNA
About the family: Transfer RNA (tRNA) molecules are approximately 80 nucleotides in length. Their secondary structure includes four short double-helical elements and three loops (D, anti-codon, and T loops).
Source: Rfam by way of RNAcentral